GGACGAACUCGACGUCGACCUGAUCGACGACGUCGGUGAUGUAUUGCAGCA
Molecule: small RNA, 51 nt
Filed under: Sinorhizobium meliloti 2011
Lineage: Bacteria; Pseudomonadati; Pseudomonadota; Alphaproteobacteria; Hyphomicrobiales; Rhizobiaceae
Description: putative ncRNA
Source: RNAcentral